AGAAGUAACCUGUCCGGAUAUUAAUUGCCGAAUUUAUUGUGAGUAUGGCUAUCAGAGAGGAUCAGAUGGCUGUGAACGGUGCAUAUGCCAACCACCUCCACGUAAUAUAUCUUUGAAUGAUACAGAUAUUGAUGGAGGUUCGUUCAGCAACUUUUGUCCAGUUUAUAUGUGCGAUAAAGCGUGUGAAUUUGGAUUUGACUUGGACGAGUAUGGAUGCGAAAUAUGCGAAUGUAAAACUUCACCAGACGUAACCUGUCCGGAUAUAAAUUGUCGGAUUCACUGUGAGUAUGGCUACCAAAGAAGAUCAGAUGGAUGCGAAAGGUGCAUAUGCCAACCACCACCAC
Anneissia japonica is the source of this 344-nucleotide long non-coding RNA. RefSeq lists it as uncharacterized. Lineage: Eukaryota; Metazoa; Echinodermata; Crinoidea; Comatulida; Comatulidae. The record is from RefSeq and is a predicted model, not a curated record. The transcript has 3 exons.